UAAAUGUCUAAAUGCUACAACAAGGGAUAAGGAUAAAACUGUAAAUCCACUAAAUAAAACAUAAAGUGAUACAAGAAAAUCCCAGAUACAAGUGCUAUAGGUAGAUACAUAGGUGGUCUCUAUACAUGGAUACAAAAACCUCUCACUCUCUCAACUACAAAAGAAAGAGUAAACCACCUAGGUNGCCAAACACUCCAAUCAACUCUAACUUUUUAGAGUUAUCAUAAUACCCAAUCAUGAUACUUUCGCUCACAAGUCGAAUAGACCUCGUCUCUCACGAGCCUAUUUCCUAUAGUCCAACCGGCCUAAGGUCUGCUAGAUCCACUAAGACUCAACCCUAGGCUCUGAUACCAAAUUAAUCUGUCACGCCCCGGGACCAAGCGGAAGCCCGCCCGGCGCGUGCCCAGACCCGCCAUACGUCUAAAACGUACAAGGCGUCUAAAAACAACAAUAAACAAAGCAAUAAAAAAAAAAAAGACAUCUAGGAGUAUCAGAGCAUAAUAAAUGCCUAAAUGCUACAACCAGGGAUAAGGAUAAAACUGUAAUUCCACUAAAUAAAACAUAAAGUGAUACAAGGAAAACCCAGAUACAAGUGCUAUAGGUAGAUACAUAGGUGGUCUCUAUACCUGGAUACAAAAACCUCUCACUCUCUCAACUACAAAAGAAAGAGUAAACUACCUAGGCAAAGUACCGCUCCUCGCUAGCUAGCUAAGCGAUCCCCUUGCCGCGAUCCCGUGCCUCCGCCGGUGCCGAAGGCUCUGAAAAGUAAACCAUAAAACAGGGGCGUGAGAACUAUUAAAAAUAGUUCCCAGUGGGCAAUUACUGACUUCAGUGAAUGCACCACGAGGCCCAAAGCUACAAAAGAUGUCAGUGACUAUAAAAGUAGAAAAGCGAAAGGUAAGUAAAAAAAGGUAACUUACUACAACAUGAUAUCUCUACUUAACAUAAUUAGCAUAAGUAUGAAGCAACUAUGCAUGAAGUAAAAGUCUCGAACUAUCAUAAUGCUCACAAUGCGAAAUAGUAAAGUUCCGUUGUUUACUAUUCCGGUCAAUGUCCAAGUAGUACACUAAGUCAUCAUCUGUCCACAUGUCAUAAUGAAUACUCAAAGUCAAAUCUGAAGAGACCCACCCGAAGGCUUUCUAUGGCCCUGAGACCCACCCGUAGGCUGUCUGGCUGGUGCAGAGCCUAAUGGCCCCGUGGUAGUCAUCAUCCCGACCUUAGGAAUGAGCCUGUCCCACGGCAAUCCACUUCGGCGCCCAAUCACGCACGGCGAAUGUGAAUCGCGAUGGCUAUCUCCGGAGUGCCGGCUUGUAGGGAGCGACCCUCACAAGCAUGUGCGAAUGAGCACAAUGGCAAGUAGUCAAACGAUCUGUCGCAAGUACCAAGUCCUCAUGUCUAAUAACAUGGAAUGUGUCAAGUAUCUCAAUGGCCUAUCCCUAUGUCAUCAUGUCUCUAACAUGGAAUAUAGCAGAUAUGUAGUGGCCUAUCAAUAUGUCUCUACGUUGCAGUUUCAUAGUUUACUAGUUUCAAGUGCCUCUUUAUGACACUCUUGUAAUCUAUGCCAAAGCAUGGCAACUAUGUUCCAAAGUACAUAUUCCAAGUCAUAAUCCUCAUAAGUGGUGUAUUUUUCACUUGCAAAUAAACACUUUUCCUAUAUGCAUGCAUUCUACUCAUAUAGCUCUACUAUAUAGUGAAGUUUUCAUAAUACACAAGGCAUGCAUUUUAAGUGCUCUAAAAUUCAUAUAAAUUUCAUUUAGCAUAGAAAUGAAUUUAAAAAAUAUUUUACAACAAAUAGAAAGAGCAUAGGGGUCAUUUCGUUCCAUUUCCACGAAGCCAAACCCACCGUCGUCAACGAAAGCUUUCGUUUGCCACGACGAAGGCGUCCACCACACUCCUAAUACCCUAAAGGUAUGAAAACAAGUGUCAUCUAGUCGAAACGAAUGACGCUAAGUUCAACCAUUAACCAACUCAAGCUAGGGUUGGGAAAAACUCACCUCAAGUGAAAAACCCUCUCUUAAUCUUCAAAUGGAAGGUAGGGGUCUUCCAAUCUAACCUAUAUAAAGGUUCCAAACCCAUCAAAAAGGUUUCAAAGCCCUCAAAUCAAAAAGCCCCAAAUCUAACCCUAGAAUCCCAAUCUAGGGUUUCAUCUAGUAAAACCUAAAAAAACAUGUAUCAAGUAGGGAUUACAUGCUACCAACCUCAAGAGGAGCUUCAAUCCAAGCUCAAAACCAAGUAGGGUUGAAGUUUGAUCCUCCACAAAGCUCCAACCGCAAGCUCGAAGCCACCAAGGUGAGAAAAUGGGGAAGAAGAUGAUGCUCCAAAGCCUCCAAGCAAGCUCCUUCUCCUCUUCUUCUUCUUCUUCUUCUUCUCCCUCUCUUCUUCUCUCUCUAGAAUAGGUGGGAAGGGAAGAAAUGAGGAGAGAAGAGGGUGAAAUGGCCAAAUAGGCCAUUAAAAGCAACAAAAUCCACUUAGGUCCCUCAAAAACUCAAAUUUACAUCAGCCCGGUCUGGGCAGUUUUCGCCCAGAGGGACCGGUCUCCCCGACCUGGGACCGGUCUCUCAGCCUGCCCCCGAAAAUCCAACGUUCGGGAACCGGUCUCUCCCUGCGCGGGACCGGUCUCUCCCCGCGCAGACGCGCUCGGGGACCGGUCUCGACUGCCAGGGACCGGUUGCCUCGCCGGCUGCGCAGCACUGUUCACUGGGGGACCGGUCUCUCCUAUCAGGGACCGGUCCCCGAGAGUAAAAACUCUCAGGACUCUGCCAAAACUCUCGAGAUCGAACUUUUAGGCCGGUAUACCAUCGACGGCCCUCCACCAAGUGUGGAAAAGUUCGGAAUACAAAUCGAACACUCGAACCUCGCAAUUUGCAAAGGUCCAGUGUGCUACAUGUAGUAUGCUAGGAGAUGUUCUUUAAUGCAUCCUUAUAUGCAUUGUAGCCAUGACAAAGUAUCGCUUUCAUAUCUGUACAAAGUAAAUGAUGAUAUUACUUGUGAACAUGUAGAUUUACAUAUCAUCCAUGACAAGAUAAAGUCGCAUUAUAAAUGCCAUGUUUAAUUGUAAGUUGUAGUUUAGCAUCUUAAUUAUGCUUUCUUAUACGCAAUUUACUCGUUACUAUUAUUGUUGGGCUUACCCCCUUCUUUUCUUUCAGGGCCUAGUGGAGCAAUGAGUUGAGGUCUGUAAUUGCCCACUGGGAACUAUAAAUUAUAGUUCUCACGCCCUCUUUUUCUCGAUGUUUUUCUGAGCCUUCCACGCAGGGUAAGGCUAGGAAUCGCGGGAAGGGAGUUGCUUCGCGCUAGCUUCCUUCGAGGACGAGUUGCUAGGUGGUCUACCUCUCGAUAUUUACUUUUUUUAGCGAGAGGUUGAGGGUUUUGCCAGUGUAUAAAGACCACCAUUUUUGUACUAGAGACAGAUAUUGUACUACUUAUGUUUUCUUUUAUUGACUAGCUUUAUUUCUUUACCUUGAUGUAGAUGAUAGAACUUUAUUUGCUCUGAUAUCAUUAGUUGCCAGUUAUUUCACUUCUUUUAUUUGUUCUAUCUCCUGCUUUACUUCCACUUUUAUUGUAGACGCCCGAUAUGUGUAGACAUAUGGCGGGUCUGGGCACGCUACCGGGAGGGCCUUCGCCGGUCCCGGAGCAUGACAUAUUAAUUUGGUAUCAGAGCCUAGGGUUGAGUCUUAGUGGACCUAGUGAACCUUAGGCCGGUUGGACUAUAGGAAUUAGGCUCGUGAGAGGCGGGGUCUAAUUAACUUGUGAGCGAAAGUAUUGUGAUUGGGUUUAUGACAACUCUAAAAAGUUAGAGUUUGAUCGGAGUGUAUGGCUUCUAACUUCGCGGAGGGUUACGUUGGCGGCCGACAACGUAACAUCGGGAGUUAGUAGUGAAGGACACUUCCUUACUUUCGUAUGAUUUGGGGUUUUAUCUAUUUGAGCGGGGAUGCGAUAGCGUGGGUUACUAACUUGCGCUUUUAUGUUUUGUAGUGACGAUGCCGGUUACACGCUCCCAGUUUGCCGGGGCGUAUGACGCGGCACACCCCGAGGAGGUCGAGACCCCCGCUACUUCCGGAUCUAGUGAGGUCCGCGACUUGAGGGGCCAGCUUGCGGUUCUCACGGAUCUGUUGGCGCAGCAGACGGCAGCGGCACAGCGACAGGCUGAGGUGGCUCAGCGGUAGGAGGCGCGGAUGAAGCAUCUUCAGGACCUCCUACUGCAGCAGGCGGCAGCUUCGAGGGAGACCUAGGGUCCCACACAGCCAGCACCCGUGGUGGACGUCGCACCGAGGGCGCAGUCCCCCGCGCCCAGUUCCUCACGUGCGGCACCGGCGACCGCACCUCGGGAGGAGGUGGUUGCGGCAUUACCAGUUUAGAGACCGGCCACGGGAGCAGCUUUUCCCGUGGUGGCCGAGGGAGCCGAGCGGGAUCGGCUUAUGGAUCGCCUCAGCGAGCUCAGGAGGUGCAGCCCGAGGACGUUUGAUGGCGAGAACGUCGACCACUGGAUUGUUGAGAAGUGGUUGAUGCAUAUGGAGAAGCUGUUUCGAGAUACCUUCGUCGAGGAGAGGGACAGGGUUUGGCUCGCCACUCACUUUCUGGACGGCGAGGCCUAUCGUUGGUGAUUGGAUAUCCAGGACAACCCCGACACCGACUUGGCGGCGAUUACUUGGACACGAUUCAAGGAGCUUCUAUUGGCGCACCACUUUCCUACCAGCGUCAAGAGGAAGAUGGAGCAGGAUUUGCGCAGCUUGCGCCAGGAUGAGCGGUCAGUGGCUGAGUACGAGAGGGAGUUCUUCCGGAUACUACACUGUGUACCGUUUGUUGUGAGGGACGACAAGGACAAGGCCCGCAUCUUUGAGUGUGGUUUGCGGCCUUCUAUCUUCCGGUUGGUGCAGUCUUCCAACCUCCAGACCUACCGGGAGGUUGUGGAUCGAGCUUUGAUCGUGGAGGCGGGAGCGGUGGAUCUGCAGGAGCGUCGUGAGAGCUCGGAGAAGGGGAAAGGGAAGAGGCCCGCGGCUGAGGGUGCGAGUCAGAUGCACUCACGGAGGCCGCCGAGGCACCCCAGAAGCCGGAGCCAGUCGCGGGGACGUGGCUCAUCUACUCAGCGAGGAGGACCCGAUCGUCGCCAGGCCCCCCGCUGCGUGAUCUGUGGCGGUCCUCAUUACCCGCGGCAGUGUUCACGCAGCCGGGGCAGGUGCUUCUUGUGUGGCCAGGAGGGCCACUUCCAGUCGGACUGCCCGAGGAGUCCAUUGCCAGCGCCAUCUUCGGCAUCUGCACCAGCUUCGCCAGGUCCCAGUCAGAGGACAUCUUCUGCGCAUCACCAGGCAGGGCGGCCGCUAGUUCUGCGGCAGGCGGAGGGGUCAGGACAGGCCCCGAGCAGGCGCAUAUACGCGGCCCAGACUGAGGAGGCGGCGGCAGCCGAGAAUGUGGUCGCAGGUAUCAUUUUACUUCAUGGUAUUCGAGUUAGAGCUUUGUUUGAUACCGGUGCAUCACAUUCAUUCAUUGAUCGACUGUUUGCUGAGCUGCAUGGCAUCCCACUUGUAUCCCUGUUGCACCCGGGACGAGUCGUUGUACCCGACCAUUCUUUGGACAUUCGGAAGUUUUGCCCCAGCUGCCCUAUUCGGGUUGGAGAUUGGAUCAUGCCCAUAGAUUUGCUAGCCUUGCAUAAACUCAGGGAGUUUGACGUUGUGUUGGGCAUGGAUUGGUUGACUAAGUACUACACCGCUAUCGAUUGCAAAGAUCGAACGGUGAUUUUUAGAGAGCCAGGGCAGGCGGAGGUUGUGUACCGAGGAUGCCAGAGUUCGCUGUUUGCGAUGACGAUUAGCUCCUCUCGAGCUAGGCAGUUGAUUAGUAGAGGCUGCGUAGCCUACUUGGCUACUGUUGUGUUGCGGGGCGAGGAUGACGCCCCUAGGAUUGAGGAUAUCCCCGUAGUGCGGGAGUUUGGAGAUGUGUUUCCAGCGGAGCUUCCAGGCAUGCCCCCUGAUAGGGAGAUUGAGUUUGUGGUAGAUCUCGUCCCCGGGACUACCCCAAUCUCAAAGGCGCCCUAUAGGAUGGCACCAGCAGAGUUGAAGGAGCUGAAGGCACAGUUGCAGGAUCUUCUGGAUAAGGGUUUUGUGCGACCGAGUGUGUCACCUUGGGGAGCACCGGUUUUGUUUGUGAAGAAGAAGGAUGGAUCACUUCGCUUAUGCGUGGACUAUCGUGAACUCAAUAAAGUCACGAUUAAGAACAAGUAUCCAUUACCGAGGAUUGAUGAUCUAUUUGAUCAGCUCCAGGGAUCUUGUGUAUAUUCCAAGAUUGACUUGCAGUCGGGAUAUCACCAGUUGAGGAUCAGACCUGAGGAUGUGUCGAAGACGGCUUUUAGAACACGGUAUGGACAUUAUGAGUUUACUGUUAUGCCGUUUGGGCUUACUAAUGCCCCGGCAGCUUUUAUGGAUCUGAUGAACCGUGUUUUUAAGCCUUAUUUAGACAGAUUCGUUGUGGUGUUUAUCGACGACAUCUUAGUGUAUUCCCGGAGUGACGCGGAUCACGAGGAGCACUUGAGACUUGUACUUCAAGUGCUUCGGGAAAAGAAGCUCUAUGCCAAGUUGAAGAAGUGUGAAUUUUGGCUUAGAGAGGUGGCGUUUUUGGGCCACGUGAUUUCAGGAUCAGGCAUAGCCGUGGACCCGAGGAAAAUUGAAGCUAUCAAGGAUUGGCCGAGGCCGACGAGCGUGACCGAGAUACGGAGCUUCAUUGGUUUGGCCGGCUACUACCGACGGUUUGUCGAGGGAUUUGCGAAGUUAUCUACUCCCCUCACGAGACUCACGCAUAAGGGCACCAAGUUUAUUUGGAAUGAUGCGUGUGAAAGGAGCUUCCAAGAGUUGAAGCAGCGAUUGACGACCGCCCCGAUCCUAACCUUGCCGACUGCCGGGGCAGGGUAUGUGAUUUAUAGUGAUGCUUCCUUUAAUGGAUUGGGCUGUGUUUUGAUGCAGGACGGGAAAGUGAUCGCGUAUGCAUCUCGCCAACUGAAGGAUUAUGAAAAGAAUUACCCCACCCACGACUUGGAGUUGGCGGCCGUAGUCUUUGCAUUGAAGCUAUGGCGCCACUACUUAUAUGGCGAGCGGUGCGAAGUAUAUACGGAUCACAAGAGCUUAAAGUACCUAUUCACUCAGAAGGAGUUGAACUUGAGGCAGCGCAGAUGGUUGGAGCUACUCAAGGAUUAUGAUUUGACGAUACUUUACCACCCGGGUAAGGCUAACGUGGUGGCGGAUGCGCUAAGUAGGAAAUCGACUGAGAACUUAGCGAUGCUUGUGGUUACUCAACCGCCGUUGAUCGAGCAGAUGAAGCGGUUGGAGUUGGAGGUGGUGGCUCCUGAUACACCUUUGAGACUGAUGACUUUGGUGGUGCAACCUACACUUUUGGAAAGGAUUAAAGAAAAGCAAGCUUCCGACUCGGAGUUGCAAAAGGUUCGAACUAAGAUGGUUGAUGGUUGCACCGGUGACUUCACUUUAGACGGUGAUGGAUUGAUGCGUUUCCGCGGACGACUUUGUGUACCGGCGGACUUGGGCAUUAAAGAGGAUAUUCUUCAAGAAGCACAUCGAGCACCGUAUGCUUUACAUCCGGGAGGCACCAAGAUGUACAUGGACUUGAAGUUGCUUUAUUGGUGGCCCGGGAUGAAAAAGGAUGUUGGUGAGUUCGUUGCUAGAUGUUUAACUUGCCAACAGGUGAAGGCUAAGCACCGAGUUCCUGCGGGGAAGCUGCAGAGCCUACCGGUUCCAGUGUGGAAGUAGGAAAAGGUCACCAUAGAUUUUGUGAUGGGAUUGCCUCGCUCACAGGCCGGGCAUGAUGCUAUUGGGUGAUUGUGGAUAGGUUGACGAAAUCGGCACAUUUCAUACCUAUCCACACUACUUGGACUGGUGAGAGACUCGCACAGGUUUAUUUGGAUGAGAUUGUGCGAUUACACGAGGUACCUACUUCCAUAGUAUCAGAUCGAGACCCCCGUUUUGUAUCCCACUUUUGGAGGAGCUUACAGAACGCUCUGGGUACGCGUUUGGACUUCAAUACAGCUUUCCACCCCCAGAGUGACGGGCAGUCGGAGCGUACUAUACAGACUCUCGAGGACAUGCUUCGAGCCUGCGUGAUCGACUUCCAGGGAGGUUGGCCGCAGCAUCUACCGAUGGCAGAGUUUGCUUAUAACAACAGUUAUCAAGCAAGUAUCAAGAUGGCACCAUUCGAGGCACUCUAUGGACGGAAGUGUAGGUCGCCGUUUCAUUGGAGUGAAGUUGGCGAGAGAUUGGCUUUAAGCCCAGAUGUGCUCCAGGAAGCAGAGGACAAGGUUCACAUUGCUCGGGAGCGAUUUUUGAUGGCCCAGAGUAGGCAGAGGAGUUAUGUUGACAGGCGGUGACGAGACUUGGAGUUUCAGAUUGGAGAUCACGUCUUCUUGAAAGUCUCGCCGACUCGAGAAAUUAGACGAUUUGGAAUCCGGGGCAAGUUGAGCCCCAGAUUCAUUGGACCGUUUGAGGUUUUGGAGUGGAUAGGCCCGGUAGCGUAUAGACUUGCCCUACCGCCGAACCUAUCGGGUGUACACAAUGUAUUCCAUGUAUCGGUUCUUCGGAAGUACAUCCACGACCCGGCUCAUGUAUUGGAUGCUACACCUAUGGAGCUGCGGGAGGAUUUGAGCUUUGAGGAGCAACCCUUGAGAAUUUUGGCUCGCGAGGUGAAAAGAUUGCGGAACUGGAAAAUUCCCUACGUGAAGGUGCUUUGGAGCAACCACGACGAGCGCGAGGCCACUUCGGAGUUAGAGAGCGCACUACGGGAGCGCUAUUCCCAUCUUUUUCAGAUGGAGGCUUGAGGUACUUUGUUUGUUUUGAGUUUCGCGGACGAAACUCCUUUUUAGGAGGGGUGAAUGUAACACACUGGACCUUUACAAAUUGCGAGGUUCGAGUGAUUGGCCGUGUUCUGAGCUUUUCCACAUUUUCUGAUGGGUCGUUGACUGUGUUCCGACCUAUGGCACGUGUCCCGAAAUUUGUGGUACAAAGCCUUGCACCAAACCCGAAAAAACGGGAUUUGGCUGACUCUCGGAUUGAGUUCUAGCGGGCUUGUACCGGUACAAGGUUGUGCUUGUACCGGUACAAGGUUGAUGGUUGUACCGGUACAGCCAUCGGAGCUUGUACCGGUACAGAGCCGCAGAGCCCAGCAACCCGAGCCUCGGGUUUGGAUUUCGUGGACCUUGUACCGGUACAAGAGCUCGUGUACCAGUACAAGGGGGCUGAUUUCGUGCAGUUUGAACCGCAGGGGGCUUUUUGCGAUUGUGGACUUCUUAUUAGUACCCCCCACGCCCUAGGGGUCUUCUCCUGAGCUUGGGACCAGUAAGAGGAGAGGUAAGGGAGCCCUCUUUGAUUUCAUUUUGAUCUAUUUGGAUUUUGGUAGGAUUUUAAGAGAUUAAACCUCUCUUUUGCUUCUUUUGCUUGAUUUGAGGCUUUUCUACCUUUGGGGCUUUAUUUUGGAGCUUUGUUGAGGGGAGAUCCUUGGACUUGGAGAGUUUAGAGCUUGGAUUGGAGCUUCUAAGAGGUAAUCUACUUGCUCUCUCCCUCUAGAUUUGAUUUUUGUUGAUGGAUUCAAGAUAAAACCCUGGAUUGACGAAUUAGGGCUUAUUUUGGGCAUUUUGAUUCUAGGGCUUUUGGAGCUAAAUCUUUUGGAUUAGAACCUUUCCCUAGAUUGGAUUGGAAGGGAUUUAGCUCUCUUUUGGAGCUUGGGAGAGAUUUUCCACUCAUUAGGUGAGUUUUAGCCCUUGUGCUAUAAUUGUUAAUGCUUGAUCUUAUAGAUGAUCGUAAUGCUCGUGUAUCUCUUCGCUCAAUACUUUUAGGGUAAUUUGAGACUCGUGGACAACUUCGUUCGGCGAGACGGGGCACUACGCGACGGUUCGGUGGGUUUGACCUAGCCUAUAUAUGAGAAAUUCUCACAUAUGGUUAUGGAUGUUCCGUAAAUUGGAAAAGCAUGCAUAUUCAUACUAAAUGUAUUUAUUAUGAUUUUUAGAAUGUUUAAAAUGCAUAUGUUACAUAUGAUGAAAUUUUGGACCUCUAUGCAGUAGAGAGUUGCUUGGGAGAUCUAUGGUUGCAUUUAGCAUUCUUUAUGAGACUUGGUUUCAUACUUCUAUAGUGUAAAUGAGUUCGGAUUCAUGCAUUUAAACUUAAGUUUACUUGUGACAUGAAAGAUGACAUUUAGAGGUGUUGAACUAGAAGGUAUUAGAGGUGUUGAACUAGAAGGUAUGUGAACUAGAGAGCUAAUGUCAUCAAGCGGCAUUGAGCUCGGGACAUGUGUGAACCUAGCGGAUAGGACCAUUGAGGAAUGUGGAACAUGCUUAAACAUUAAAUGUCUAAGUGUCAUAAAGGGGCACUAGACCUAGAGAAUGUUGGAACUUCAUUUGUGACUUAGAACUAGAUCUUCGAGAUGCUAGUGACUAUACCAUGUUAGAGACAUGAGGGUUGGAUACUUGAGCCAUCGACUAUGCUUGCCAUUUGUGCUCAUUCGCACAUGCUUGUGAGGGUCGCUCCCUACAAGCCGGUACUCUGGAGUUAGCCUACGCGACUUUUGUUCGCUCGUGUGGUAUUGAGAAGCCUACGGGGUCGAAUGGGACAGACACAUUCCAAGAGUAGGGAUGUAGGGCUACCACAGGCACUUAGGCGGCACAAGCUGGACUACCUUGGGUAGGCCCCUUAUUGGAAAUGGGAACCGACACGAUAUUGAGUGUGUGAUAAUCACUACUAGACAGAUAGUAGUAGCUGGAUUACUUGGACUUACUUCUAGCAUAGAUGUGGACAUUUGGGUAUUCAUACAUACAUGUAGUAUGCUAGGAGAUGUUGUUUAUUGCAUCCUUAUAUGCAUUGUAGCCAUGACAAAGUAUCGCUUUCAUAUCUGUACAAAGUAAAUCAUGAUAUUACUUGUGAACAUGUAGAUUUACAUAUCAUCCAUGACAAGAUAAAGUCGCAUUAUAAAUGCCAUGUUUAAUUGCAAGUUGUAGCUUAGCAUCUUAAUUAUGCUUUCUUAUAUGCAAUUUACUCGUUACUAUUAUUGUUGGGCUUACCCCCUUCUUUUCUUUCGGGGCCUAGUGGAGCAAUGAGCUGAGGUCAGUAAUUGCCCACUGGGAACUAUAAAUUAUAGUUCUCACGCCCUCUUUUUCUCGAUAUUUUUCAGAGCCUUCCACGCAGGGUGAGGCCAGGGAUCGCGGGAAAGGAGUUGCUUCGAGCUAGCUUCUUUCGAGGACGAGUUGCUAGGUGGUCUACCUCUCGAUAUUUACUUUUUUUGGCAAGAGGUUGAGGGUUUUGCCAGUGUAUAGCGACCACCAUUUUUAUACUAGAGACAGAUAUUGUACUACUUAUGUUUUCUUUUAUUGACUAGCUUUAUUUCUUUACCUUGGUGUAGAUGAUAGAACUUUAUUUGCUCUGAUAUCAUUAGUUGCUAGUUAUUUCACUUCUUUUAUUUGUUCCAUCUCCUGCUUUACUUCCACUUUUAUUGUAGACGCCUUAUAGGUGUAGGCAUAUGGCGGGUCUGGGCACGCUACCGGGAGGGCCUUCGCCGGUCCCGGGGCGUGACAUGAAGAGUCGACAGUGAUUCGAUGAGUUUGACCUCACUAAAAUGGGUGAAUUAUCCCUAUGUUCUUGCUAUGUUUAUGAUAUUAGCAAUUAUGCAUAAUUAUGCUAGUACCAUUAUGAAUAAGAUGUUGGAUAACUUAGAUGUAUUUGUAUCAUAAGACAAGGUUAAAUCUCUAUAAAGUAGAGAGUUGUAUGCAGUGAACAUAUGAAAAAUGUACUAUAUAAUGGUUAGCAUACUUGUAAGGAAGUGAAUUCUCGAAAUUCGAGGAUUGUACUUCAUCCAGGAUCGACUAACUGUCAAGAGAAUACCCUUUAUGGGAGUUAGAGAUGUCCAAAGCACAAAAAGUGCCUUGGAGUUGAGUCCGCGAGAGCAAAUGAGGCAAACUGCAUCAUUGGGCUGAUGUUGCUCUCGGGGACCGGUCUCUGCAGGUGAGAGACCGGUUCCCUCGGCUGGGUGUAGCGGGGUUGCUUGAUACAACCGGUCCCUGGCAGGGAGGGACCGGUUCCCGAACGUGGUCCCAGCAGAGAAGUCGAAAUUUGGCUAAGUCCUAAAAAUUGAGCUCUCGGGGACCGGUCUCCCCGACCAGGGACCGGUCCCUCUGGACGAAAACUACCCAGUGAAGGCUGUGCAAUGGAUGAAAAGUUGAGGGGUCUAAAUACAAAAUGGCCUUUAAUAGAGUGAGCUGAGCUCUCUCUCUCCCUCACACUCUCUCAUUUCACUCUCUUUCACUCUUAUUGCUCUCUCUAGAGAAGAAAGGAGAAGAAGAAGAAUAAGAGGGAGAUGAAGGAAAAGAAGGAGAAGGAAAGGAAGGAGAAGAAGAAGGAGAUCAAGGAGAAGGCUUUGGGCAACUUCAUCUCCCUCUCCUCUUCUCUUUGGUGUAGCACAAGAGGUAGGCUCUUGAACCCUAGCUUCUAAACUUUGGAGUUUUGGAUUUUGAUGCCUUGGAAUGGGUCAAAUGGACCCUAAAUGAGCUUCUAAAUAGGUCAAUCCCAUAAAUCUAGGGAUUUAUUAGUGGUUUGCUAUAGGUGCAAACCUAGGGCACCAAAAUGGGGUUUUUGUGAAAGUAUGAGAUUGAUCUCAUUUGAAGCUUUGGAAACCCUAUUGUUAGGUCACAAAACGUGGGGGCGAAGUCGAUUUUGGCAUUCGGCAAACCAACAUGAAGUCCUCGGCAAAAUCGGGCUGGGCUAGUGUUGAUUUGGGCGAGGAAGGCUAAAGCCUUUUCGUAAAGCUCGCCGAGAGAGAUUUCCGAAGCCUCUACAUCGAUUAAAAGUAGGGGGUGCCAUCCCAAAGCUUUCGAACUCCUUUCUAUGUCUUAGAUUGCAUUUAAUCUCAUCUCUUCAUGUGCAUUGUAGGAUUGCAUAGUAGCUCCAUUCCUUAUGCUUUCUAAAAGAUAACCUAGUGUACUUGGAACGCUUUGUAACUUAGAUAGGUGAGGAUUGGGUCGGAACGUGGAUCCUAUGAUGCGAAAGAAAAGAGAUGAACCCGAUGGGGGUGUUGAUGACAUGGAAAGUAGUGUUAUUGUCAAAGAACAAACGAGUGGCAUCCAAAUGUUGAAUGAUAACGAGUGGCAUUAAUGUAGUGUAAAUAACACUAGAGGUCGAUGGACCUAGGGAUAGGCGGAUCUCUUAGAAAAUGCAUUGUGAGCAAUGAAUUUAGAAAAGCUAAAUAGCAUUGUAUGAAUGUCGGGAACAUAUGAUCCCGCGAGAAAUGUUGACUCUAGUUGUAGAGCAUCCUUACUAGGAGAGGAUUUGAUUGGUUUGUGGACCCUAGUUAUAGUGCUUCCUCACUUGGAGAGGAUUGGAUUGGGUAGUAGACCCUAGUGAUAGUGUAUCCUCACUUGGAGAGGAUAGAUCUAGCUCACAGUCUGCGUUUAGUAUAGCCAUCCAAUCCCUACAUGGAGGGGAUUGUCGUCGAGUACUCCGGAGUGUCGCGCGACUAGGACCACUUGGAGGUCCGGACCACAUGGAGGUCCGCAGACGGUCCCGGGCUUGGGUGCACUUGGAGCUCCCUCCCCACUUUAGGAUUGAAGGGUGAGUUAUAGGCGAGCCCUAGGGCCUCGCCACAGAAUAGGUAAGUGGAAAAGUUAAAGGUUUAAAAAUGUCAUUGAACAUUACUAUUCGAACAUGGAUCGAAUUUGUUAGCAUGGUAGAAACCUGUAUUACAUGAUGCAUGCAUUCAUAUUUAUGAUUAUGGGCAGAGUAGUAUAGUUUUCCUACUAUCGCAUUUACAGCUUUCAGAUACAUAUCUAUCUAUCUAUCUAUCUGUUGUUGCUUGUGCCCACCUGGACCUAGGAGGGAGAUCGGCAGAGUCGGCGGCCGAGCCCACUGAGAACUAUGGAAGAUAGUUCUCACCCCACUCUAUUUCUAGUGGUAGGUACAAGGUUGCCGAGAGAGGACCGCGGCAAGGGCAUCGCGCCCGACCAGUGAGACCGUGGUAGUAUAGUAGCUUUCCUUUUUGCAUUAGUUCACUUAUGUAGUGAGAGAGAUUCAUUGUAGGUGAGGAUUUGGGAGAGCCAUGUAUUUUGAGAUGGAAAAUGUAUUCAUUUAAAGAAAAUGAUGUAAAUGGGAAUGAUGAAACUAUUGUAAUAGUUAGUAAAGUACUCUCUUUAUUUCACAUGUGUAUCUUGUGUAUUACUUGCUCCUUGUGUUGUUGGCACUGUUUGUGCCCUUGUGGAUGUGUAUGUUUAGAAUUUAAAUUCCUGGGUAAAUUCUUGUACACGUUCCUGUUGUUGAGCAUUGGGCGGACAGGGGAAGUGCUGUCCGUUCGGCUGUCUGCCGCCGCGGCCGAACUGUGCCAAAUUGGUAGUGGUUUCGGGGCGGGGCGUGACAGAGCGUGGUAUCAGAGCACAAGAGCAAGUAAAGAGAGAAAGUUUAGGAUGACCUAGGAGACCCUAGGUUGGUAAGCCCUAAGGUUAUAGGUGCGUGAGCGGAACAGGAACCUAUAGUGAUGGUGGAAGUUAAUUCGAUUGGGUCGAAGUUGGUAAUAUGUCUCUAGUUGUGGUUAGAGACGGAUUCAAGUGGUAUGAGUUCUUGUCUUGAGGUGGUUGUGUCGGCGGCCGACAACAUGAUACCAAGAGCCUAGAACGAGUGCACUUGUGUGCUUCCGCCCGAUUUUGUUGUUGAGUCGUCAGGUGUCGUAAUUGCGACAAGAUAAUUGGUUAAGAUGACUGACCGAGUAAUUGCGUUUCAGGGACUAAUAUCUCCAAGACGCUACACGCGUAGGACUGCCCCAGCACCGACUCCUGAGGUGCCCGAGCAGGAUGAACCGAGCCUGAUGGAUCAGUUGCAAGCGCAAGUAACCGCGCUGACCAAUGUGGUGCAGCGCCAGGAGACUCGAUUUGAGCGGCUCCAGGAUUUAUUGGAGCUGCAAAUCGCGGCGGCGGCCACGACGGCAAAUGAAGGCGGUGGUCCGCCCGCACCCUCGACUCAUAUACCUAGAGUAGCAGAGGGUGAGGGCAUAGCGGCGGUCCCGGUGACGGCACGCCCACCGCCAACGAUCGUACCACAGGCGGCAUCGGGGUCGGCUACCCCCGAUGUGUCGGCCGAAGACGUGGAGGGAGAGGGCGCAUUGGCGGCUCUUAUCAAGUUCAACAAGUUCCAUCCGCCAACCUUUGAGGGCGAGAAAGUGGAACCGGAGAUCGUCGAGUCUUGGAUUGACUAGAUGGAAACCCUCUUCGAUGACUUGCGUACCUUGGAGAGGGACAAGAUGUAUCUUGCCACCCAUUGCUUGGAGAAGGCGGCGAAGGUUUGGUGGAAGCGAGUCAAACGGGAUUGGCUUCCCGGCCUUCCGCCAAUGCUGUGGGAGGAAUUCAAGCGGGAGAUGUUCACCAACUAUUUCCCAGAUACAUUGAAGCGGGAGCUCAAGGAGAAGUUCCGCAAGCUCGAGCAAGGGGACCGCCCAGCGGCGGAGUAUGAACAAGAAUUCUCCCAUAUUAUCGAUUGCGUCCCUGAUGUUGUAAAGGAUGACCAGGACCGGGCCGAGUGGUUCUUGCGAGGACUUCGGCCGGGAAUCUACAAGGCCGUGCAAAUACUCAAGCUCACGACCUUUGCGGAGGUCUUCGAUCGAGCCCUAUGGGCGGAGCACGGAGAUGCCUACUUUCGGGAGAAGCGUGAGGCUUUGGCCGAUUCUAAGGACAAGGGCAAGAAACGCCAAGGCGGUGGUAGUUCGGGGGGACAGACACGUUACAAGAAACCCCCGAAGUAUCCGCGCGCUCAACAAAGGGGCGGUGGAGUGCGGCGAUGCAUUGUGUGCGACAGAGACCAGCCAGUCUCGCGCUGUGAGCAAGGCCGGUGCAAGUGCUACAAAUGUGAGCAACCGGGGCACUUCAUUCAAGACUGCCCGGGGGGAGGAGCCUCACCUGCCCCAUCGAUUGCAUCGGCGCCGGCGAUUCAGGCUCAUUAUGGAGGAGCUCCACCGACGGCCGUGUCGACUGGACGCGCGAUGAUGUCGCGUCAACCUGAAGUGACGCGAUCGGUCCCGAGCGGACGGGUGUUCGCUGCUCAGGUCCAAGCUGAGGAACCUACGGAGGCGGAGGAGCAUCGCCUUGUGGCAGGUAUGGUUUUAAUUAACGGAGUUCGCUCCAGGGCUUUAUUUGAUACAGGAGCCACGCAUUCAUUCAUAAGUAGAUCAUUCGCAUGCAUGCAUGGCAUACUCAUAGAGGCGAGUGACAGGUGGCGAGUGGAGGGCCCUGGGUCGAUGUUUAACACUUACUCGGAGUGUGCGUCAUGUCCCGUACAAAUAGGCGACUGGAUUAUGCCUAUCCGGACACUGGAACUCAUAAAGCUUGAGGCUUAUGAUAUCAUUCUGGGCAUGGACUGGCUCUCGAAGUAUCACGCAACGAUCGACUGCAAGAGCAGGGUGAUUACCUUCCGUGAACCAGGACAGGAGGAGCUCACAUAUCGGGCUUGUCAAAGCUCGUGCUUCGUCGCGACGGUAUCGGCGACGAGAGCAAGGAAAUUAGUUAACAGCGAUUGCACGGCAUUCUUAGCGACUGUUGUGGAGAUGGAACGUGUAGCUCCAACGUUAGAGGAGCUAUCGGUAGUGCGGGAGUUCCCGGAUGUAUUUCGCACGAAGUUGCCGGGCAUACCACCGGAUCAGGAGAUCGAGUUCGUCAUAGACUUGGUUCCCGGUACCUCACCGAUCUCGAAGGCCCCGUACCGAAUGGCGACGGCGGAAUUGAAGGAGUUGAGGAGUCAGUUGCAAGACCUCCUCGACAAGCAAUUUAUCCGGCCGAGUGUAUCACCGUGGGGAGCACCGGUGUUGUUUGUACGAAAGAAGGACGGAUCAUUUCGACUCUGCGUGGACUAUCGAGAAUUGAACAGAGUCACGAUCAAGAACAAGUACCCACUACCCCGGAUCGAUGACUUGUUCAAUCAGUUGCAAGGGUCGUGUGUGUACUCGAAGAUAGAUUUGCAAUCCGGCUACCACCAAUUGAAGAUCAAGCCGGAGGAUGUGCAGAAAACUGCGUUUCGUACGCGGGAUGGACACUACGAAUUCACGGUCAUGCCAUUUGGACUCACGAAUGCUCUAGCGGCAUUUAUGGACUUGAUGAACCAUGUCUUCAAGAAGUAUUUUUUGUCGUGGUCUUCAUAGACGACAUAUUGGUCUAUUCUCGUAGUGACGAGGAAUAUGCCGAGCAUUUGAGAAUAGUGCUUCAAGUCCUUCGGGAGGAGAAGCUAUAUGCUAAGCUGAAGAAGUGUGACUUCUGGCUUCGCGAGGUCGCCUUCUUAGGGCAUGUGAUUUCCGCGGGUGGAGUUUCUGUAGACCCGAGGAAAGUUGAGGCAAUCAAGGAUUGGCCCCGCCCGAUGAAUGUCACGGAGGUUUGGAGCUUCGUGGGCUUGGCGGGCUACUAUAGGCGGUUUGUGGAAGGCUUUUCCAAAAUAGUGAUUCCACUUACCCGCCUGACUCAGAAAGGCACCAAGUUUGUUUGGAGCGAAGAAUGUGACCGGAGUUUCAAAGAAUUGAAGCAAAGACUGACUUUGGCUCCGGUGUUCGCUCUACCGGUGUAGGGCAAAGACUUCGUGGUCUACAGUGAUGCCUCCUAUCUUGGGUUGGGGUGUGUAUUGAUGCAAAAUGGAAAGGUGAUUGCCUACGCAUCCCAUCAGCUGAAGAGCUAUGAAAAGAACUACCCCAUCCAUGAUUUGGAGCUAGCGGCGGUGAUUUUCGCCUUGAAGCUAUGGAGGCACUACUUAUAUAGUGCCCAUUGUGAGAUCUAUACCGACCACAAGAGCUUGAAGUAUCUGUUCACACUGAAGGAGCUCAACAUGCGUCAGCGGUGGUGGUUGGAGCUGUUAAAGGAUUAUGAUGUUGAUAUCCUCUACCACCACGGGAAGGCAAAUGUGGUCGCGGAUGCAUUGAGUAGGAAGUCAGCGAAGAACCUCGCAUUUGAUGUUACCCAGCAAACACCCCUGUGGCUGGAUAUGGAGCGAUUGGACAUUGAAGUAGUCGCUCCCGAGGUCCCGACUUAGUUGAUGGCACUCGUCGUCCAACCGACCUUGUUAGAGAGGAUCAAAGAUCUGCAAUCCGCAGACCCAGAACUCCAAAAGGUGCGGUGGAACAUCGAGGAAGGGCGUGGCAGCGAUUUCAAGGUAGACACCGAUGGUGCGCUUCGGUUUCGAAACCGAUGGUGUGUGCCGAAAGAUGGACAGCUUCGUGAAUAGAUUCUGCAAGAAGCACACCGAUCUCCAUAUGCCGAUCACCCGGGUGGCACCAACAUGUAUCAAGGACUAAAAAUGCAUUAUUGGUGGCCGGGAAUGAAGAGUGACAUUGGACGCUUUGUAGCAAAGUGCCUAACAUGCCAACAAGUGAAGGCCGAGCGUCGAUUUCCAGCGGGAAAGCUUCAAAGCUUACCAAUCCCCGUUUGGAAGUAGGAGGAUAUAUCGAUGGACUUCGUGGUCGGCUUGCCUCGCUCAACAGGCGGCCACGAUGCAAAUUGGGUAAUUGUGGACCGAUUGACGAAGUUGGCUCACUUCUUGCCGAUCCACACCACGUGGUCAGGCGACAAGUUAGCGCAGGUAUAUCUUGACGAGAUAGUAAGACUACAUGGGGUGCCGAAAUCGAUCGUGUCGGAUCGUGACCCCCGGUUCAUUUCACACUUCUGGAAGAGCCUGCAGGAAGCCCUUUGUAAUAUACCGAAAAUUCGAAAAAUAAAGAUAUCGAACCUUAGUCAAAUUGACCAAAGUGCGAGGAUGGUACACUUCGGAAAGUCCGAAGGUGUUAAAAUGAUCAAAGGUGAGUUACGGGAGGUUUUCGAGAGCUAAAGUUGUGAAAUCUGCAUUCUGCAGUUUUCAGCUCUCGGGGACCGGUCCCUGAUGGGAGAGACCGGUCCCCGAACGCAUAUGAAAUGAGACAGCCGAAAAAUCGGCUAAGUCCUGAGAAAUUAGCUCUCGGGAACCGGUCCCUGCCUAAGAGACCGAUCCCCGAGAGACCGGUCCCCCAAAGAGAGACCGGUUGCACUGCGCGCAGCAGCUCUGGCUGCGCUCGGACGACCUUCGGGAACCGGUCCCUGAAGGAGAGACCGGUCCCCGCCUGCGCGAACAGCCCAGUCCAGGCUGUGUGAAAGAGUGAAAGUUGAGGGGUUUAUUUGCAUUUUUGCAAGCCAUGGGUUAUGUUGGGGGCUAGGAGAGCCUUUUCUCUCAUUCUCUCCCUCACACACACUCUCUUCUCUCCCUCUCUCUCUCUAGAAGGCAAAGGAGAAGAAGAAGAAAGAAAGAAAGGAAGGAAAAGAAGGAAAAGAAGGUGAAGAAGAAGAUCAAGUAGUAAGCCUACCUCUUCUUCUUCCUCCUUGGAGCAACUUUGGGAAAGCUUUGAGGUAACCUUUGAUCCCAAGUAUAGUAAAGCCCUAGAAUGAGCUUUGAAUAAACCUAUAAAUGGUUUUAAUGGAUUGUUUAGAGUCUUUGAAGCUUUCUUUUUGCUUCUUUCGAGAUCAAAGCCAUGGUUUGGCUUGAGGUGAGCUUUGGCCACCUCUAAUGGUGAAAUCCAAACUAGGGUUUGGAAUGAGCUAGGAAUGGUUUAGAUGAACUCUUUAGAGUAUAUUGAAGCUACUUUUGCUUCCCAAUGAGAUCAAACCCUAGGUUUGAUAUAUGUGUUGGAGCUAGGGCACCAAAUUGGGGCUUUUGCUCAUGGGAAUUUCUAAGUGCAAUUGACCCUCUAGAAACCUAAUUGGGGGUAUUUCCGACGCGUUGGUGCGCUCGGAUUAACGUUAUGAAAAGUCUAUAGAAAGAUAUGGGCAAAAUGGCCUAAGUUGGCUUCGUUUUGCCGCAGGUGAAGAACGAGGAGCCUAUAAAUCUCAAGAAAAUCGUCGGAGCACCUAAAUAGACCUACGAGAUGGGUGGUGCUUCUCAAACUCAUUGAACUUCUCUCUAUACCUAACGUGUCAUUCAAUUGAGCAUAUGUUACAUAUUUGUUGCAUGCAUUUUAGGAUAAAGUGAUGAUGAAAAUGUGAUGAUGCAUGAUUGUGAGUACAACUUGCAUAAUAUGAUGAAUGAGAACUAUGUAAACGUCGAAAACCCUAUGUGUAUGCAUGAGAGAAAAGUGAGCACCCAAAGUGAGCAAAAGAACAGAGUGACACAAUGACAUAGAUCGAGUGGCAUUUGAUAAAGUUAAAGUAAAAUGACACUAGAGAUAGUGUGAGGUAAAGAACCAAUGUAAUGUAAAGAAUGAUGAAAAUGACAAUGUGUAAAGUUAAAGUAAAGUGGGGCAAUAAGAACAAGAAAUGUAAAGAAUAAGAAUGCUAAAGAUAGCAAAGGUAAAUGAAAAGUAAAGAACUUGAUUGCUAGAGUGGCAACAAAAAGUGAUGAAAGAACACUAGAGCUAGUGUAAAGUCAAGAUUGAACUUGUAAAUCCUUUGAGUUAAGGAUAUGAUCAUACUUGCUAUGAGUUCCGUGCUUGAGGGCGGUCGCUCCCCCUCGGGCGAUGCGCUCCGGAGUUAUGCAUCACGGGUUGGAGUAAACCCAAAGGACGGUCCUAGCGGGUGAGUUCCUGCGAUGAUGGACUUAAUGUGAAGCAAGUUAAUGUGGCGAAACUCCAGGGUUAGCCUUGAGAUUAAAGAAUAAAGAAGAAAGAAAAAGAGCAAAGAACAAAGAACAAAGAGUAACGUGAAAUGAACAAACAAUUUGCAUAAUCUGCAUUUAUUUAAUGUUGAGCAUAUUUCUGCUUUAUUGUUCAGGCAUAUUAGCAUCAUGUAUAGAUUUGUUACUAUAUGCAGCUUAUUCUUUCUAUUAUACCUGAGUUAGCCCUAGUGGGAAAGUCGGUGAUGUUGAGGCCGAACCCACUGGGAACUUUGUUGUAGUUCUCACCCCACUAUUUCCACAGAGCUGGGACCGAGUGAGCCGGCGAGCGACCGAGGUAAAGGUAUUGCGCCUUAGUCAGAGGCCACCAAAGUUGGGUUUCAUUUUGUCGUAAAUGAUCAUCUUUUGUACAUGAUGGUAAAUAAUGUAAAGAAAAGAAUGUAAUGUGUAUUUUGAGGUAAAUGUGAUGUAAGAAAGAAAUGAUGAAAUGAAAUGUAAGGAAUUCGAAAAUGAACAAGAUGAAUGCAAUGUAUAUGAUCAAAAAUGAAUCAUAGUACAAGUGAAUGUUUAGUUUCCAUUUUCUUUCACUCGUGGCUAUUGCUUACCCUCGUGUAAGCCGUUUGUGUAUGUUUCCGCUAGUGCUUUUCUCUAUUGAUGAAAAUGUACAUGUGAUGAGCCUUGGGCGGAUAGGAAAAACUCUGUCCGUUCGGCGUCUGUUUGGCAUGCUCGGGUCGGGCCAAAUUAGUAUCGGUCCUGGGGCGUGACACCCUUGGCAUACGGCUCGACUUUAGCACCGCAUUUCAUCCUCAGACCGAUGGGCAAACAGAGAGAACUAUUCAAACUCUGGAGGACAUGUUGCGAGCGUGUGUCAUCGACUAUAAGGGAAGUUGGUGUGACCACCUACCUAUGGCCGAGUUCGCCUACAACAACAGUUAUCAUGCUAGUGUGGAGAUGGCUGUCACGCCCCGAGCACGCCUAUUUGGUCGGUUUCGGGCACGCCAACAGACCGCCGAACAGAUAGGAUUUUUCCUGUACUGCGGACAGAGUCUCCCCUAUACAUUCAAGGCGUCGCAAUCAAUACAAUGUAUGAAGUUCCAACCAGGAACACAUUUCAACCAAGGAUUGCAUAAGGAAGUAUCAAAAACAUAAAUCUACUUGCUAUUACAAGCAUUCAUCUCACAUAUUAUAUUUUUGCAUUCUUAGAUUAUAUCACAUUUGAUUCUUUGAUUCUUACUUCCAAAUACAAUCAAAUUAUUACAAAUUUACUACAAGUUUGAUACAUCUUGUUCUUUCAUUUUUCAUAUCCCUAAGUAGCCGACUCAGGGUGCUGCUAUCUGGUCUCAGUGGUAGGGCGCUAACUAUGAAGCUACGCCCUUGCCACGCGCCGCCGCGCCGCUCACGUGUGAACCUGUAACACCCCAAAACAACGUGGGGUGAGAACCAACUCCAUGGUUCCCAGUGGGUACGACCACCCAAGGGAAGAGCUCGACCAUCAGGUCCAAAGGAGGCAAACAACAUGUUAGUCCAAUAGAUAGAUAUGAAAUCAUAAAUCGUGCAACUAACAUUACCAUGCUUUUGCCUCACAACAUGCAAUAUGCAAAUCAUGCAACUCAUAUAGGUAGAUUAAUUAAUUCUACUCUUUAUUCUUAUCCAUUCUUUACCUUUAGUCAUUCUUUACUUUACUAGUUAUUCUUUAGCAUUUACCUUUCUAUAUUCUUCAUUACUCGCCAUUCUUUAGCAUUAGCAUUUCCUUAUUCUUUAUUCUUUAUUCUUUAUUCUUUAUACUUUAUUAAGGGUACUCACCCUUAGUAAUAUUAUACACAUUAGCCUUUCCUUCCUAAGGUUACUUUACCUUAGCCAACUAUGCCAUCCGACUCGAUCUUGAGUCAAUCAACUGUGGAUAGUCCGCGCUCUGUCCGGCUCGAGGUGAAGGAACUCUCACAUGCACCUCAGCCUUCAAUCACAAACCACAUCGCCCAAUGGGUCGCCCAGAGCUGCGUACACCCGUGGUCAGGGAAAGGAACAUGCCGCAUACACCCGCAGCCGAGAUCCCCGAUAGGGAGAGGAACAUGCCACAUGCACCUUGCCACAUGCACCUUGACAAGCCUCGAAGUUCUUCCGGUGGGAGAGGAACGUGCCACAUGCACCCACGAAAAUGUGGGGGCGAAGUCGAUUUUGGCAUUCGGCGAACCGACGUGAAGUCCUCGGCAAAAUCGGGCCGAGCUAGUGUUGAUUUGGGCGAGGAAGGCUAAAGCCAUUUCGUAAAGCUUGCCGAGAGAGAUUUCCGAGGUCUCUACAUCGAUUAAAGGUGGGGGGUGCCAUCCCGAAGCUUUCGAACUCUUUUCUAUGUCUUAGAUUGCAUUUAAUCUCAUCUCUUCAUGUGCAUUGUAGGAUUGCAUAGUAGCUCCAUUCCUUAUACUUUCUAAAAGAUAACCUAGUGUACUUGGAACGCUUGGCAACUUAGAUAGGUGAGGAUUGGGUCGGAACGUGGAUCCUAUGAUGCGAAAGAAAAGAGAUGAACCCAAUUGGGGUGUUGAUGACAUGGAAAGUAGUGUUAUUGUCAAAGAACAAACGAGUGGCAUCCAAAUGUUGAAUGAUAACGAGUGGUAUUAAUGUAGUAUAAAUAACACUAGAGGUCGAUGGACCUAGGGAUAGGCGGAUCCCUUAGAAAAUGCCUUGUGAACAAUGAAUUUAGAAAAGCUAAAUAGCAUUGUAUGAAUGUCGGGAACAAAUGAUCCCGCGAGAAAUGUUGACUCUAGUUGUAGAGCAUCCUCACUGGGAGAGGAUUUGAUUGGGUUGUGGACCCUAGUUAUAGUGCUUCCUCACUUGGAGAGGAUUGGAUUGGGUAGUAGACCCUAGUGAUAGUGUAUCCUCGCUUGGAGAGGAUAGAUCUAGCUCAUAGUCUGCGUUUGGGGAGGUAUAGCCAUCCAAUCCCCACAUGGAGGGGAUUGUCGUCGAGUACUCCGGAGUGUCGUGCGACUAGGACCACUUGGAGGUCCGGACCACAUGGAGGUCUGCAGACGGUCUCGGGCUUGGGUGCACUUGGAGCUCCCUCCCCACUUUGGGAUUGAAGGGUGAGUUAUAGGCGAGCCCUAGGGCCUCGCCACAGAUUGAGUAAAUGGAAAAGUUAAAGGUUUAAAAAUGUCAUUGAACAUUACUAUUUGAACAUGGAUAGAAUUUGUUAGCAUGGUAGAAACCUGUAUUAUAUGAUGCAUGCAUUCAUAUUCAUGAUUAUGGGCAUAAUAGCAUAGUUUUCCUACUAUCGCAUUUACAGCUUUCAGAUACAUAUCUAUCUAUCUAUCUAUCUGUUGUUGCUUGUGCCCACUUGGACCUAGUGGGGAGAUCGGCAGAGUCGGCGGCCGAGUCCACUGGGAACUAUGGAAGAUAGUUCUCACCCCACUUUAUUUCCAGUGGUAGGUACAGGGUUGCCGAGAGAGGACCGCGGCAAGGGCAUCGCGCCCGACCAGCGAGACCGUGAUAGUAUAGUAGCUUUCCUUUUUGCAUUAGUUCACCUAUGUACUGAGAGAGAUUCAUUGUAGGUGAGGAUUUGGGAGAGCCAUGUAUUUUGAGAUGGAAAAUGUAUUCAUUUAAAGAAAAUGAUGUAAAUGGGAAUGAUGAAACUAUUAUAAUAGUUAGUAAAGUACUCUCUUUAUUUCACAUGUGUAUCUUGUGGAUUACUUGCUCCUUGUGUUGUUGGCACUGUUUGUGCCCUUGUGGAUGUAUAUGUUUAGAAUUUAAAUUUCUGGGUAAAUUCUUGUACACGUUCCUGUUGUUGAGCCUUGGGCGGACAGGGGAUGUGCUGUCCGUUCGGCGGUUCGCCGCAGCAGCCGAACCGUGCCAAAUUGGUAGUGGUUUCCGGGCGGGGCAUGACAAUACUUGCAUAGACAAGUUAAACUUGGCAUAUAAUUGAUAAAACUAGCAUAAAUUUCAUGUUACUAACUAUGAUCUACUUGAUAACUAGCACCUGAUAUUAUACUUAGAUCCCGACCUAUAGGAAGGUAGAGGACAUUCCAUAUAUGUUUGAGACAUGACAAUUGAAAAUCUUGUAUUAUGGAUCAUGUUUGCUUGCCAUUGUGCUCAUUCGCACAUGCUUUACAUGCUUGUGAGGGUCGCUCCCCACAAGCCGGCACUUCGCAGUUCACCUAUAUAACACAUUGAAACCCGAAAGAAAUUAUCGAACUUUACCCAAAUUGGUUACAGUUGUCGAGGGAAAUGGAUGGGCAAGUUCUAAUUAACAUUCCAACUAUGUUGGAAGGGUUAAAAAUGAGUUUAAGAGGUGUUAGAAACGUUUUAGCAUCGGCCGGCGCGAAACAGAAUUGAAAACGACGCAAAACUGCAUUCUAGAGCAAAGUGUACCGGUACAACCAGCGAGUUGUCACCGGUACAGCCCUGCAAACCGAGAAAAGUAAGCUCUCGGGUUUGAGAAAAAUACGAAGUGUACCGGUACACUUUGAAAAUGUACCGGUACAAAUGCUACGAAACUGAGAGAUCUGCUCUCCGGUUGCCUCUGCGCAGAAAAUGUACCGGUACAAAAUCCCGUGUACCAGUACACUUUGGUCUGGCAGCAAAGAAAGGACUUGAUGCAAAUAAGAAAGUUUGGGGGGCUUAGUUGCUAUUGUUGCAACCCUUAUAUGACCCAGCCCUUCUCCUUUCACAGCAGCAGCCACCCUUUCACUCUCCCUCUCAUUUCCCUCUUUCUCUCUCUAGAGAGCUUGGCCUAGGGCUUGGAGGAGAAAGCUUGGAAGCUUGGAGAAGGUGGAUUUUGGAGGUUGUGGUGGCUCUAGAAGCUCUCCUACAACAAGGAUUUGGGGAUAGCUUGUAGCCAAGGUGAGUUUAUACAUCAACUCCUCUAGGGUUAGGAUUUUUAUCUUAGGUUUUGGAGUUUUGGUCUCUUUAGAGACUUUCGAAGUAUAAUAGAGACCUUAAACCCAUGAAAAUCCAUGGUUUUUCAAGGUGCUGUCAUGGUGGUUAGCUAGGGUUUAUAGUAGAUGCCCUAGGGAUGUUUGGAAAGGCUUGGAAAUGGUAUUAGAAAGCUUCCUAAUUGAAUCUAAGCUAGCUUUUGCUUAAGAAUGAGAUCAACUUAGGAAGAAACCCUAUAUGACAUUGUUAGGGCUUGAAAAUUAGAGCUUUUGCCUCCGGUUGUUUUCAAGGUAAAUUGACCUCUUGAAAUCCUAAUUAGGGGUAUUCCCGACGCGUGGGACAACUCCGUUUAACGUUACGAAAAGUCUAGAUAUGAGAUCUUGUGUAUAGGGCCUAAUUCGGCACUAUUUUGGGUAUAGGUCGCGGGAGAGACGUCCUAAAAUCACGAGUCGAAUUACAACCCUUCUAUACUAUUUGAGGUGGGGGGUGCACGCCGGAAUCAUCGGAUUCCCCUUUAUGUCUAUUUUCACCUUUGUUGAGCAUACUUGUAUAUAGAAUCAUUCAUACAUGAUAGGGUAAUUUUACAUGUGAAACUUGGUUAGACAUCAUUUAUAUACUUCUAAUGUAGUUGAACAUAGAGAAUGAUAGAACCAUAAUGGACAUGUAUGGUAGACUCCCUAAAGAUUGUAUGAAUGUGAGAUUUUGACUUUGACAAUAGUAAAUAAGGGUGGCAUUGACAAUAGAGACAAGAUUGGCAUCGAGAUAUAUAUUGUUAAACCUAGUUUAAACAAUAGUGGCAUUGUGACAAGAAUGACUUAGAAAGUGGCAUGAAUAAAUAGGUAGAAAUCUAUUAUGAUGACGGCAUUGUGACUAGUCGGGCCCGGAUCGACCAAAUUGGCGAUAGCGGGACGUGAUACUCCGGGAGUGACUGAGCUAAGAUCCGUACGAUAUUGAGAAAGACAUACGCUUAUUGAGAUUCUCUUACAUAGCAUGUAUUUCAUACUACAUAUGCUGGGCGACCAAAUAAAGAGGAUGAGUGAAUGGAUCCCUACUUCCUCAUCGUGUGAGUUCUUAUGGACAUUAUUUUGAGGCGAUGUCCUAUAUAUGUUAGAUGCCCUUAGUGACUUUUGACUAUGUCAUUAAGUGAAAGAAUUGAUAUUGCUACUUUAGCAUGUUUUCUACGGCUAUGAGUGAUGCGGCUUUAUGGGGCAUUGCUUAGAAAGCAAAUAGUUCUCAACUUACUUGCAUAAGGGCUCAAGGAAGACUAGUUGAAUUACAUUCAGAUACUUUGACUCAUUGUCGACAAGUUGUGUCGCUUCAGCAUAGCGAAACAAUCAUGAGUAUAGUGUCAUAAUAUGCGCAAUAGAGGUUAGCAUGGCUCUUUGAGGGAUUAGAGAUGCUGAACCUGAUGUAAUUCAAUUGUCUAGGGCUUCACGAGUCUAAUAUUUCUUUUUAAGGGUUGAUGUCUCUAUGCUGGUCGUAUGCGGUUUCUAGUAUAGAGCUCCUAAAAUGCAGGUUGACUCGGCGGUCGCACUGUUCAUUCCCUGUAUGAAUAGAAUUAAUAGUGGUGUAAUGUUGAGGAAGUGGUUACGAUGGCAUCGAUCCUGCUAUGUGCGAGUGGGAGAUGUUGGCAUUCGGUUAAAUCGAAUCGGGUGCGCCCAUAAUCGGGCUCGAUCCGACGGAUAUUAUGUUAUCUAAUUGGAUUAGGAUUAAUCUCGCUUUCAAAUUGGAAAGCUAAUUAGAGAUAAAUUCUAAUCAUAUUAGGAUAACAAUUAAUAACCAAUUUGGCCUUAUCUAUUACGCUAUUAGGAUUUUGGAAUCCCUUAUAAAUAUACGGGCGAUCCCACAUAAAACGAUAAUGGAAAAAGAAAGAGAAAUAAGAAAACAAAAGAGAGAAACCACAUCCUCCAUUAACCUAUUAUUCUAGAGGGACUUGGACGGUGGAUUUGCGAUCGUGCUCGUUUGUAGUUCGAUCCACCACGGGUUCGGAGCUUUAGAGGACCUUCAAGGACGAUCCAAGCACAUGUGAAUCAAUCUCUACGAUCCGGGCUCAUCGCGUUGUAGUGCGAAUCACUUCCGCAAAAAGGUACGAACGGAUACUUCCGCUGCGUUCUACAGUUUGAGACAUGACGAUUGAGAACUUUGUAUUAUGGAUCAUGCUUGUUUGCCAUUGUGCUCAUUCGCACAUGCCUGUGAGGGUCGCUUCCCACAAGCCGACACUCCGGAGUUCGCCUACGCGACAUUGUGCUCGCUCGUGCGGGGUUGGGUGCCGAAGUAGAUUGCCGUGGAGAGUGCAUGCUACCACGGAGCCAUUAGGCGCGGCGCAAGCCGGACUACCUUAUGUAGGUCCUUAUGAAUUGAACAAAGAUGCUAAAUUGUAUUAGUAAAAUGGUCACUACUAGAUAGGGCACAUUUAUGUCAUGAUAUAGUAUGCUUACUCGUAUAGAGUAGUUCAUGUAUUUGUUGCACUCUGAUAGUUGCAUUGGUAGUAUAGUAAUUUUAUUGUUCACUAGUUGCUUAUUAUCCCUAUCAUAUAGUAAUCAUAAGUAUAGUAAUUUUAUUGUUCACUAGUUGCUUAUUAUGCCUAUCAUAUAGUAAUCAUACAUGCUUCUUAUUUGCAUUUCAGAAACCUAGUGGUGUAAUUCGCUGAGGUCGGCGGCUUACCCACUGGGAACUAUUGACUAAUAGUUCUCAUGCCCUAUUUAUUGUUGUUUUAUUUACAGAGCCAUCCACCGUGGGAGAGGUUAGGGAUUGCGGCAAGGGAGUCGCGUUUAGCUAGGCAUAGCUUGGAGUCCUGCUAGGUGAUCACCUCUCUGUUUUGGUUGUGUGGACGAGGGUGAUGUUUUACUCGUGUAUAGAGACUACCACAUGUAUAUAUAACUGUUUUGUGACCGUGUGAUGUAUGAGUGUUGUUGGAGAGUUAUAUUUACAGUUGUAUACUCUUGUUUCCUAUUGUCUUUAGUAGAUAUUGUAUAUGUUACACUCUUGCUUUUAGUACUUCUAAUAUAUUUUGUACAUUCUAUGCUCUGAUACCAUGUUAGAAUCUUCUAUUGAUUGUUACUCUUCUAGCAUGGUUUUGGUAGACGCCAUAUAUACUUUAGGUAUAUGGCGGGUCUGUACAUAUACCGGAUAGUCUUCCGCUAGAACCCGGGCGUGACAAUACAUGUACAUAUAUCAUAUAUUUAAAAUCCUUUAGUAGAGAUUUGAAAAUCUAAUUUAAUCAAUAGAAUUUAAAUUAUUAACUUUGUAUGUCAUAUCUGUUUAAUUAAAUUUUGAUAUCAAAAUAUUUAUCAUUUAAUAUAAGUUGUGGUGUAUAGAAUGUUAAUAUAUAUCAUGUGCAUGUAACAUUUUAAUCAAAAAAGUUAUUCAUAGAACGGUCUCUAAAACUUUUAGGGCGUGUUUGGUUCGCUUCUUUUUCACCCUGGAAUCAGAAUCGGAAUGGAUGAAUCCGUUUGUGACUGUUUGGUAUGCGGGAGUCCCAUUCCGAUUCCAAUUCCCAAGUGGAAUGGGAAAUGCCCCAGAAGUUGAAUCCGGCCGGAAUGGAUAUUUAUUCGGAUUAAAUUUAUUUUUUCAACUUUUUUUAAUUAAAAUAUGAGUUUAAAUUUACAAAUUAAAUUUAUAAUUUUAAAUUUUAAUUUGAAUUUGAAUUAAAAAUUAAAAUUUAAUCAAGUAUUUUGAAAUUAACUUAUAAAUUUGAAUUUAAAUUAAAUUUUAAUUUAUAUAAAAUUUUAUUCAAAUUUUAUUUAAAACUUAAAUUAAAUUUACGGAUUCAAAUUAAAAUUUAAAUUGUAAUUUUAUUUGAUUGAAUAAAUCAAUAAUUUUAGUUUUAUAUUUUGAAUUAUCCACUCAACUUCAAGUUUAAUUUUUUUAAAAAAAUAAAUUUAAAAUUUUGACAUUAUUUCAAAUUUUGAUCUAAAUUUUUAAUAUUAUAUUUUAAAUUUGAAUUUAAAUUAAUAUAUUAGAAAGAUAAAGUUAGUAUAUAAUUUGAUUGUUUUUAUAAUCUACCUGAACCAAACACCGACAAUGAGAAUAAUUUAUUCGAUUUCGAUUCAGAUAACAAACCAAACAGAAUUAGGCAAUGAGUCAUUCCGAUUCCGAUUCUAGCUUAUUCCGAUUCCGAUUAUGAUUCCGAUUCCGACUUCGAACCAAACGCGCCCUUAAAUCUGAUUAAAUUUUAAAUAAAAUCGUUAGAAUAAUGUAACUAUUCAAAAUUAAAGAAAAUAUUAGUAAAUAAACGAGUUAUUUUUGUAAUGUAUAUAACACUAUUUGAUAAUAUUUGUAUUUAGUUAUAAUUUAUUAAUCUUACAAGUUUAAUAAUUAUAUAUUUUAAUUAAUUAAAAUACGAUUUAUCCGCUGCGAAAGUUGGGGCCUGCAUAGUAUUUGUUAGGUCCAUAGGGAUGUGGUGUAGCCAAAGUUAGUCUAUUUGCUGUCAAAGUAGCUUAGGCAUGGACUAGCUAGUUGCGACACUUGUAAUUUAUUUGGGCUGUCAAAGUAGUCUAUUUGCUUGUUGGUCCACCGUCCUACACGAGAGAGAGAGAGAGAGAGAGAGAGAGAGAGAGGGAUGUGGUGUAGCCAAAGUAGUCUAUUGCUGUCAAAGUAAGAGCCAUGUUUAUUGGUGUGCCACAUCUAGGGCUGCAAAUGAGCGAGCCGGCUCGCGUUCGACUCGCGUUCGACUCGAUAUUUGGCUCGCGAGCUCGACUCGAAUUAAAUGAGCUGAGCUUGAAACAAAAAAGGCUCGAAAUUUAUUUCAAGCCGAGCUUGAGUAUUACUCGGCUCGCUUCGAAUUAGGCUCGAAAAGCUCGAGUAUAUAUAUAUAUAAUAUAUAUAAUAUAUAUAUAGUAGAGCUACUAUGCUAUCGAAUGUAUAGAGGAUAUGGUGCUUUCGAUUUUUUGAUUCUUAGAUCAGGGCCCUUUAAUAAUUUCUUUGAAAUUAAUACUAGGGAUAUAUUUAAUCCUGGGGGGGACCGCAAUCAUCCCAAUCAUACAAUUCUUAAUCAAAGGAUAAAAUUCGAAAACAUCAAAUCUCUAUAUUUUCGAUAGCAUAUAGUUCUACACUAUAUAAUAUAUAUAUAUAUAUUAAAAAAUAUAUAAAUAUAAUAUAUUUUAAUUAUAUAUAGCGCUGAGUGAAUAUCUGAGUUUUUAAAAAUUGGGUCCAAUAUUGUUGGCCCAUAAAAACAAAGCCAACAGACAAAUAAAAGAGCAAAAUUUCACUAAAUUUAUAUAUAUUUCCUUUCUUUCUUUCUUUCUUUCACAGAACUCUAAAUUUUUAAUAUAUUUCUCUCUUUCUCUUUUUCUGUCUCUCACCCUAAGCAGCCAAGCCGAAAGCCCUCAAAAUUACCAAGUAACAAACAGUAUAUGUCUGCCGUUGCCUACCUUGCUAUUAAUUGUAAGCUUGAGAAAAUAUACAGAAUAUUUAAAGUAAAAAAUUAUUAUUCAUAUAAAAUUUUAAUUUUUGUUCUAUAUGAUUGGAGAGUUUAAUCCAAUAUUUAUCUAUAUAAUUUAUUUAUUUUUUACUGCAUAAAUGAAAAUGAAUAAUAUGGAGAUUGAAGGCGGAAGAAAAGACAUGUGAGACUGAAAAGAUUAGAUAUUCAACUCAUAAAUUAUUUUUUUCGUAUUAUAAUACUAUAUUUUAUAUAAUUAUUUUGUACUUUGAACUAUUAGACAUAUUUUUGUAUCAAAUUAUAGAUAAUGUUCUAUACAAAUUAAACUAUUGAUCGUAUGAUGUUGAGAAUUUCAAACGGCUCGUUUAGGGCUCGAGCUCGCUCGACUCGAAAUUAGGCUCGCUCGAGCUCGGCUCGAAUUAAUUUCAAUCCAAGCUUGAGCUUAAAUUUAAGUUCGAAAUUAAUUUCAAGCCGAAUUUGAGCCGAGGUAAGCUCGCUCGAGCUCGGCUCGUUUCCACCCCUAGCCACAUCCCUCGCUCUCGCAAUCGAGAAGGACGGUGGACCAACAAGCAAAUAAUGUGGCACUAGCUUAAUUUGCAGAAGCGUGAUGCACUAUUUAAGUCUUUAUAAAGAUCAAUAUGGCUGUAGAUAAUCACCAGUAGCAAGAUCUUUAUUUCAAGAGGAUAGUACAUUGGUCUGCUUCAUUUUAUUUCCUUUUGUGGUAAGUUCUCCUCCGUCUCACCGUCCUUUUUCUUUCUCCUUCUUUGAGCAUAAAGCAUAGACUAUAUACGCUUCCGCUCCGUUUAUGUAUACUAUUAUCAGUUUAAUAUCAGGUAUGCCUCACCUUAAUUUCCAUCCCCACUUUUCUAUCACAGUCCUCGCAGACCAUAAACGAAAGUGGGUGCGCGCGUCUUACUUACGACGAGUAUAUAAAACAGAAACAAAAGAGUUGAUACAAAAGAAGCUGAGAAUCAAACUAUCCACCCGGAAAGUAUAGUUUCAGGUCUGUAAAAAGUUCUCCACUCACUUAUUACUCUCGUUUGUGUAACUUUCAUAGUUACACAAAUCGAUAGAGCCUAAGACUUUUGUUUCCUUUAACUUUAGGUUUGUCUGCUGGAAAUAUUGGAACUACUCCCUGCCAAGAUGGAAUUCAGCAGAUCGGCAGAUAUCAGUGAAUCGUCAGAAAGAGAGAGAGGCUGGGUAGAACUGAACCAGCUCACAGCUAGAAGUGCAGCAGGAGUGUCCAACUUCGAUGUUUUCAGAGAAGCAGAAUGCAUCAAACAAGAAUCAAGACAAUUCAUCAAUUGCGAUGCUGGUUCUGCUUUGGAACAAUCGACAGAAGCUGAGAAGGAAAUGUAUUCCGGCCUUGCCGACAAACUGAGAAUAGAAAUGGAAGAAGCGAAUGUUGAGCGGGUGUUUAUUGAUCUUGCUAGAGCCAAGGCUGAGAGAGAGUAUACAGAAAUAAAAGCCCAAAGAGAGGCAGAGGCUGCUCAAUUUGAUAGGAAAAUAGAAACCACUAGUAGUAAGAUCAGGUCGCUAUCCAAAGAACUCAAUGCUGCCAAGGAGCUCGAAGCGGAGCUUAUGGCAACAUAUCAGGAUUUGAAUGCCCUGCAGAAUGAGAUGGAGUUCAUAAAAGUGAUGGAGAGAAGUUCUGAGAACAAGCGUUUGAGUGAUAAACUCGAGUUAGCGUCAUCUCAGGCAGAAUUGGAGGCGGCAAGGAAAGAGCUUCUAUCUCUCCGAGAAGAGGGAUUUAAGCUAAUGGCUGAAAUGGAUAAUAUAAGAGGAGAAUCAAUAGAGAUUGCUGAAGAGAGAGAGCAGUUGGUGAAGUCUGGAAAGAAAAGAGAAGCCGAUCUUCGGUCCGUCAACUCAAAUCUUCACAAAGCCAUUUCUAAACUUGAAUUGGCAGCCUCAGCCGAGAAGAGGGCUGGCGCUGUUGUUGCGAAUCUUUCAACAGCACUGCAGCAACUUCAGUCGGAUGUUGCCGUGGCGAAGCGAGAAGCGGAGUUGACUAACCAGGAAGUAUCAGCAAUACAGGAAGAGACUGCGCAGAUGUACUUGACCAUUAAAUUUUAUGAAGAAAGACUCCGAGAUGCGGCAAAGGAACUCGAAGCAGGUAAGGAGUUAGAAGCGGUGGCUCUCGAGCAGUUACAGACACUAACCGAUAGUACAAUGAGAGAGAGAGCGAUCGCCGCUCUUUUUUGUUCGACGAUAACUCUGUCCAGGUUUGAGUAUUACUAUCUGAUCAACCAUGCAAGGUCGGCCCAAGAAGUUGCUGACAUGAAGGUGGCUGCGGCUGAGGCAUGUACCGAAGCAAUUCAAGCUAGAGAGAAGGAGAUGCACUUUUUGAUGGCCGAAACUACUCGGAGGGACGACUUCAUGAGGCGGAAGAACAAGAAGACAGAGGAAAGACUGACGAGCUCGAGAGAACACGAUCAGGAGAGAGAAUUAGCAGAGCCAUUAAAGCCUAAGCUUGCGAUAGCAAUGCCAAGAAGGUCGAUUACUCUAGGCCGUGGUGGUUUAGCCGCUAUGCAACCGAGAAGAUCUAUUACCUUAGCUGGUGGCGUAGCAGUAGCGGGAGAGUCAGGAACGGUAAGAAAGGUUAGAAGGUCAUCAUCACUUUUGCCGACGACACGGAGCAGCACCACCAGACCUCAGCCAGCAUUCGCCUCCAGGAGAAAGGUGGUGGUGCACAGACUUGUUAAUUUCUUGAGUUGGAGAGUUAGAAAGAACUAGGGAGGACAAUGUAUUCUGGGAGCUUAAUUUGGAUGUUCGAAAUCUCUUCUGGAGUGGUGUAGUGCAACGUAUAUUGCUCGUUUCUUCCUUUACUUGUUACCCGUUGUCGCCGAGCAAAUUAAUUACGGCCUGUACAUGUUUGUUUGAUUUUAUGUACAAUGAUAUUUCGUGUAAAAUUAACUCUCGGGUUGAAAAUUUAUUCUGGCUGGCUUGUUUGAUUUCAUGUAAAAUGAUAUUCCGUGUAAAAUUAACUCUCCAAUGGGAACCUUGUUUCAGCUAAGCUUGUUUACUUUCAUGUUAAAAUGAUUUUUCAUGUAAAAUCACCUAACAAGGUUUUUUUAAGCCUGAGAAGUGUGAGCCAAAAACAAAACCUAAGAGCAACGGGAAGAACAGUAGUGUUAAGAUUGCCAAUUCUACGGGCCGAACUGUACGUUGUCCGUUGAUAUGGAACCUCCUUGUUGUAUAAAGCGCGGGACCUUUCUCAUCGAGCGGUGCACGCCUGCUGCGUGCGGUUGGUGCGCGAGCCUAUUCAUCUCAUCCAUUGUGCAAGAAAAAAAUUUCGAUAACCCAAAAGGAAUCGAUGCUUGGCAACCUUUACAAGGUAUCAAGUUUGAUUAUGGGCAACUCAACUUGAACCAUAUAAAUAGAGCAGUGCUAUCAAUACACUCAUAUUAUAGUGUAAAUCUUAUAUUUUAUUCAUCCAAAAUAUUAAUAUUUUCACACUAGUUUUAUCCAUUUUUUUAAUAUUAAGAUUUUAAACAAAUACCCGAAUCCCUUGCAUCGAUGGAUAUAGUUGUUUCUUAUAUAAAUAUAAGAUUAGGUAAAAUGUAUGAAGGCAUCCUCACGUACGGAAGUUUGAAAUGACCCCCUUGGCUUCAAACAUUUUACUUUUUCUAUUCGAGGCCUAGCUUAUUUAAUAUUGUUGUUAUAUUUCCAUUUAACUUAAUAUAUUGAUGAAUAUUUUUUUUCUUAUUAUCAUGAUUGGUUAGCUUACAAUUCACCCGACUAAUUGGCAGAUAAUAAUUUUAAAAACUAAAAAAUAAAAAAAUCAUUGUAUAGCAAACAAACAUCUUAGAUAUAAGAGUUGCAAACAAUUCACUUUCCUUCUCAGACUUCUUACACCUUAUUAUAUAGAAAUUAUAUUAGAAAAUUAAAAAAAUUGAACGUGAUACAAAACUACUCCUUCACCUGCAAUUUUUUCACUUGAGAUUUUUCUAGUUAAUUAUUUUUUAAUUUGUUGGACUAAUUGUUAAUUAUUUUAGUUUUAUUUACUGUUUCACAACAAGAAAAUGGCUACAAUGAAAAAAAAAAAAAAUCCGUAAGCAAAAUUCUUAACUAAUAGAAUUAGUACGUGGCCGCAAAUACUAUCAUUAUGAAUGUCUCCACAGUUAAUAGAAUUAGUGCGUGGCCGCAAAUACUAUCAUUAUGAAUGUCUCCACAGUUAACUCAACAAGGAGUCCUAGGGAUAUAAAAUUACUCGUUUGGUUUAACACUAAAACUAUAGUAAGAUAGUAAUAUACAUGAUUUUCUAGAAUUAUUCCUAUAUUUAAAAUUUUAUUUAUAUAUAUAUAUAUUUAUCACUAAAAUUUAAAAAAAAUGAGUAACUCUGUUUGCAAAGUUAAAAAAUAUUUAAAAGCAAAAUAAAAAAAUGGUCUUAAUAUAUAUAUAGAGAGAGAGAGAGAGAGAGAGAGAGAGAGAGAGAGAGAGAGAGAGAGAGAGAGAGAGAGAGAGAGAAAGGGAGAGAGUUGAGCUAUAAUACUAUUAAUAGUAUUUGCCUCCCUUUGCUAUCAAGUUUGUUGUUACAUUUUUAAUACAAAUUAAUAACGCAAUAUUUGCACAUAAGUCCUCUUAUAAUUUACUAACUAUUAGUAAGUCCUCUCUAGUAACAUUUACAUCUUAAUACCACCAAUUUGUAACAAUUACAAAUUAGUCCAAUUAUCAACAUAUUGGCAAUUAGGUCCUCCAGUGAUUCAAUAAUUGCGAUCUAGCUAUCCGAUCAAUCACAACCUCUUAUGUGUGUGACCCCAUAGGUUCUAUUCUAUCUGGUAGUGAGAUAUAUUUUGAUCACUACCAACAAUAUCACUAAAACUCCUUUCAGUAGAUCGUAACAAUUCCAACUCAGCCCAAUGAGAAUUAUCGAUCAUCUAGAUAAUUCUCAUGAGUCUCACAAUCCACCAGUGAUGCCUAACAGCAUGUAGUGGCAUUCCAGUAGAAUGGAAUAUUAAACCUCUUGGUGCAGUUACCGUGUGAUAUAGUCCUUCUGUCGUGAGUCCCGACUAGACGGAGGUCGUGGAAUAACUCGUCAAACCCCAUCGUCUGUCAUAUGUUAAGUUUAUUCGACUCGAGUUUCUAAUAUUAGAAACCCUUUUCUUCUAUUAACUCUGCCCUGGUCAAGGUCAUCUAAACUCGGUCUCAUAAAUCACAUAGGAUUAACGCCCCUAUCUAUCAAGGGAGAUAGAUUCCAUCUAAGUGCGCACCCUAUUCCUACAAUGAACCUACUGUAGCCAACAUGCACCGCAAGGACCCGAAUGGCUAGGGACCAAGUGUAUGUACAGUCAAACUACAGUAACCUCAUUGUGAAUAGCCGAGGCACCGCAGUUCAAAGGACCAGUCACACUACUGCAACAUUGAGUAAGUCACUGACGAGUGAGUAGACAUCCAAGUGACUUCUCGCGUUGGUCAGGCUCGGUACCCUUGUUCUCUAACAACCACUUGCAUAUUCGCUUCAGUGUCCGCACAUUGUCGACUCGAGACUCGUCUACCCAAAAGGGAAGCGACCUAUACACCAAUCUCAUCGGAUCAAUUACCGUCCCCGUGAUGAUCCAUUGAUCGGGCGCUUUUAGGAAUUAACUACCAAUGACACAUGUCUCAAAUUCUCAACUCUUGAGAAUAUAUGUCAUCACCUUAUUAAUUCCUUGGACGAUUCAUGGACACAAACACAACAUGAAUAGAAUUAAGGACCCAAAUAUAUUCAUAAUAUUUUAAAAUCAAAUACAAAUUUAUAUCCUAGAAAGAAUAUAUGUGUCGGCCUGGUUGGCUUCUAGGGCAUACAUCUAACAAAUGACACUAAUGAAAGUUAGAGAAUCCAAGUACAUGUGAGAGUUGGCAUUAUGACAUAGUAACCUUAGAGUUAAGGGUCAUAUGAGCAUUGUAUCUUUAUAGUUAAUGAUUGGAUUGAACUUGGCAUCCUUAUAGUUAAGGAUUGGAUUAUACUUGCCUUACGUCUUGGCUCAGAGGGUGGUAACUUGUCACGCCCCGGGACCCAGCGGAAGCCCGCCCGGCACGUGCCCAGACCCGCCAUACGUCUAAAACAUAUAAGGCGUCUAAAAACAACAAUAAUAAAAGUAAGAAUAAAAGACAUCUAGGAGUAUCAGAGCAUAAUAAAGUCUAAAUGCUACAACAAGGGAUAAGGAUAAAACUGUAAAUCCACUAAAUAAAACAUAAAGUGAUACAAGAAAAUUCCAGAUACAAGUGCUAUAGGUAGAUACAUAGAUGGUCUCUAUACUUGGAUACAAAAACCUCUCACUCUCUCAACUACAAAAAGAAAGAGUAAACCACCUAGGCAAAGUACCGCUCCUCGCUAGCUAGCUAAGCGAUCCCCUUGCCGCGAUCCCGUGCCUCCGCCGAUGCCGAAGGCUCUGAAAGUAAACCAUAAAACAAGGGCGUGAGAACUAUUAAAAAUAGUUCCCAGUGGGCAAUUACUGACUUCAG
RNAcentral lists this long non-coding RNA (37239 nucleotides) under Ananas comosus (pineapple). RNAcentral describes it as "long non-coding RNA (ACOM_LNC016888)". The record is from RNAcentral. Lineage: Eukaryota; Viridiplantae; Streptophyta; Magnoliopsida; Poales; Bromeliaceae.